This 57-nucleotide transfer RNA is filed under the name Tinamus guttatus (white-throated tinamou). It matches the Rfam family "tRNA", at positions 9 to 63 of the family's 71-position model. Rfam says of the family: Transfer RNA (tRNA) molecules are approximately 80 nucleotides in length. Their secondary structure includes four short double-helical elements and three loops (D, anti-codon, and T loops). Further hydrogen bonds mediate the characteristic L-shaped molecular structure. tRNAs have two regions of fundamental functional importance: the anti-codon, which is responsible for specific mRNA codon recognition, and the 3' end, to which the tRNAs corresponding amino acid is attached (by aminoacyl-tRNA synthetases). tRNAs cope with the degeneracy of the genetic code in two manners: having more than one tRNA (with a specific anti-codon) for a particular amino acid; and 'wobble' base-pairing, i.e. permitting non-standard base-pairing at the 3rd anti-codon position. The record is from Rfam by way of RNAcentral. Lineage: Eukaryota; Metazoa; Chordata; Aves; Tinamiformes; Tinamidae.
AGCUCAGUUGGGAGAGCAUCAAACUUUCAAUCUGAGGGUCCAGGGUUCAAGUCUCUG